This 301-nucleotide ribosomal RNA is filed under the name uncultured bacterium. RNAcentral describes it as "partial 16S ribosomal RNA". It matches the Rfam family "Bacterial small subunit ribosomal RNA", at positions 509 to 807 of the family's 1533-position model. The record is from RNAcentral.
CAGCAGCCGCGGUAAGACAGAGGUCCCGAGCGUUGUUCGGAUUCAUUGGGCGUAAAGGGUGUGUAGGAGGCCAGGUAAGUCAGGUGUGAAAUCUCAGAGCUUAACUCUGAAACUGCGCUUGAUACUGCUUGGCUAGAGGAUCGGAGGGGGUAACGGAAUUUAUGGUGUAGCAGUGAAAUGCGUAGAUAUCGUAAGGAACACCGGUGGCGAAGGCGGUUACCUGGAAGAUUCCUGACUCUGAAACACGAAAGCCAGGGGAGCAAACGGGAUUAGAUACCCCAGUAGUCCCUGUCUCUUAUAC